UGUAGCAGCUAGCUCUCUGCAACUAAAACAAGGUCGCCCACUGAAGCUAAGCAGGGCUGUGCCCGGUCAGUACCUGGAUGGGAGACCACAUGGGAAAGCUAGGUUGCUGCCAGAA
This is a ribosomal RNA of Danio rerio (zebrafish), 115 nucleotides long. NCBI's taxonomy places the organism in Eukaryota, Metazoa, Chordata, Actinopteri, Cypriniformes, Danionidae. The record is from Ensembl.